This 307-nucleotide unclassified non-coding RNA is filed under the name plant metagenome. RNAcentral describes it as "partial contains 5.8S ribosomal RNA, internal transcribed spacer 2, and large subunit ribosomal RNA". The stretch from base 1 to 105 matches the Rfam family "5.8S ribosomal RNA", at positions 50 to 154 of the family's 154-position model. The record is from RNAcentral.
GAAAUGCGAUAAGUAGUGUGAAUGGCAGAAUUCAGUGAAUCAUCGAAUCUUUGAACGCACAUUGCGCCCUUUGGUAUUCCAAAGGGCAUGCCUGUUCGAGCGUCAUUUGUACCCUCAAGCUUUGCUUGGUGUUGGGCGUCUUGUCUCUAGCUUUGCUGGAGACUCGCCUUAAAGUAAUUGGCAGCCGGCCUACUGGUUUCGGAGCGCAGCACAAGUCGCACUCUCUAUCAGCAAAGGUCUAGCAUCCAUUAAGCCUUUUUUCAACUUUUGACCUCGGAUCAGGUAGGGAUACCCGCUGAACUUAAGC